RNAcentral lists this ribosomal RNA (465 nucleotides) under uncultured bacterium. Its description in RNAcentral is "partial 16S ribosomal RNA". It matches the Rfam family "Bacterial small subunit ribosomal RNA", at positions 28 to 507 of the family's 1533-position model. The record is from RNAcentral.
GACGAACGCUGGCGGCGUGCUUAACACAUGCCAGUCGAACGGAAAGGCCCCUUUGGGGGUACUCGAGUGGCGAACGGGUGCGUAACACGUGAGUAACCUGCCCUUGCCUUCGGGAUAACUUCAGGAAACUGGGGCUAAUACCGGAUAGGAAUCCUUGCUGCAUGGUGGGGGUUGGAAAGCUUCGGCGGUUUUUGAUGGACUCGCGGCUUAUCAGCUUGUUGGGGGGGUAGUGGCUUACCAAGGCUUUGACGGGUAGCCGGCCUGGGGGGGCGACCGGCCACAUUGGGACUGAGAUACGGCCCAGACUCCUACGGGAGGCAGCAGGGGGGAAGAUUGCACAAUGGGCGGAAGCCGGAUGCAGCAACGCCGCGUGCGGGAUGACGGCCUUCGGGUUGUAAACCGCUUUCAGCAGGGGCGAAGCUUGUGGUGACGGUACCUGCAGAAGAAGCACCGGCUAACUACGUG